This is a non-coding RNA of Acanthosepion pharaonis, 112 nucleotides long. The record is from the annotation of a GenBank genome assembly. NCBI's taxonomy places the organism in Eukaryota, Metazoa, Mollusca, Cephalopoda, Sepiida, Sepiidae.
UUGCGGCCAUAUCACGUUGAAUCACCGGUUCUCGUACGAUCACCGAAGUUAAGCAACGCCGAGCCUGGUCAAUACUUAGAUGCCGGCCGCUUGGAAAUACCAGGGGCCGUAA